GUGUGUGUGAAAGAGAGAGGGCGAGAGAGAUUAUGCAAAUAUGUUUCUCUUUUCUGAGAAUUCAGCUCAUGUGAAUGAAGACCGCAGAAAACGGCCUAACUCAGUGGGAAUGUUGUUUUUAUAAUUACAGGUCUAGGCUUUUCACAUUGACUUUCUCUACUGCCUGCCCUUCUGCUCAAGCAAAUUCUGUCUGAGAAGAUCUGAUGGGAAGGAACUGACUGCUUAGAAUUCUCCAUUGUGAUGAAAGCACAUGGUACAGUUUUCCAAAGAAAUUAGUCCGUUUUCUGGGUGAAGAGAGACCAGACUGCUGUUUUCACAGGAUACUUCUCCCUUCUCUGUGAAAGGAAGAAAGAGCACACCUGGGCCCAGGAGCACUCCAGCUUCUUGUGGGAAGUCUCCAUGGUGAAGUGCAAGCCGGGGCUACCUGUGAACCGCGCACAGUG
This is a non-coding RNA of Odocoileus virginianus texanus, 443 nucleotides long. Lineage: Eukaryota; Metazoa; Chordata; Mammalia; Artiodactyla; Cervidae. The record is from RefSeq and is a predicted model, not a curated record.